UGGGGAAAAGUAUGCGAUUGCAGAAUUCAGUGAGUCAUCGAAUCUUUGAACGCACAUUGCGCCCUUUGGUAUUCCGAAGGGCAUGCCUGUUCGAGCGUCAUUAUCACCCCUCAAGCCCCCCGGCUUGGUGUUGGACGGUCUGGUCGAGCGUUUCCGCGCGACCCCUCCCAAAGACAAUGACGGCGGCCUGGUUGGACCCCCGGUACACGGAGCUUCUUCACUGAGCACGUAUCGGUUUCAAGGUGUCCCCGGGACCCGGUCGACCUCUCUUGCUCCCCUGCGGGAGUGGGAGAGAACCCCCCUUUUUAUCAAGGUUGACCUCGGAUCAGGUAGGAAUACCCGCUGAACUUAAGCAUAUCAAUAAGCGGAGGAA
RNAcentral lists this ribosomal RNA (373 nucleotides) under Exophiala dermatitidis. Its description in RNAcentral is "eukaryotic LSU rRNA". The stretch from base 1 to 100 matches the Rfam family "5.8S ribosomal RNA", at positions 54 to 154 of the family's 154-position model. Lineage: Eukaryota; Fungi; Ascomycota; Eurotiomycetes; Chaetothyriales; Herpotrichiellaceae. The record is from RNAcentral.